CUAACACAUGCAAGUCGAACGCGCUCCAUUCGGUAGCAAUACUGGUGAAGAGCGAGUGGCGAACGGGUGAGUAACACAUGAGCAACCUGCCCCGAAGACCGGGACAACACCGGGAAACCGGUGCUAAUACCGGAUAUCCCUAUCGGACCGCAUGAUCUGAUAAGGAAAUGGAUUCCGCUUCGGGAGGGGCUCGUGGCCUAUCAGCUAGUUGGCGGGGUAACGGCCCACCAAGGCAUCGACGGGUAGCUGGUCUGAGAGGACGAUCAGCCACACUGGGACUGAGACACGGCCCAGACUCCUACGGGAGGCAGCAGUGGGGAAUCUUGCGCAAUGGGCGAAAGCCUGACGCAGCAACGCCGCGUGGAGGACGAAGGCUUUCUGAGCUGUAAACUCCUUUCAGCAGGGACGAUAGUGACGGUACCUGCAGAAGAAGCACCGGCCAACUACGUGCCAGCAGCCGCGGUAAU
Molecule: ribosomal RNA, 467 nt
Filed under: uncultured bacterium
Lineage: Bacteria
Description: bacterial SSU rRNA
Rfam family: Bacterial small subunit ribosomal RNA
Source: RNAcentral